RNAcentral lists this ribosomal RNA (465 nucleotides) under uncultured bacterium. Its description in RNAcentral is "partial 16S ribosomal RNA". It matches the Rfam family "Bacterial small subunit ribosomal RNA", at positions 28 to 507 of the family's 1533-position model. The record is from RNAcentral.
GACGAACGCUGGCGGCGUGCUUAACACAUGCAAGUCGAACGGAAAGGCCCUGCUUGCAGGGUACUCGAGUGGCGAACGGGUGAGUAACACGUGGGUGAUCUGCCCUGCACUUCGGGAUAAGCCUGGGAAACUGGGUCUAAUACCGGACAGGAGCCAUUUUUAGUGUGAUGGUUGGAAAGUUUUUUCGGUGUAGGAUGAGCUCGCGGCCUAUCAGCUUGUUGGUGGGGUAAUGGCCUACCAAGGCGGCGACGGGUAGCCGGCCUGAGAGGGUGGACGGCCACAUUGGGACUGAGAUACGGCCCAGACUCCUACGGGAGGCAGCAGUGGGGAAGAUUGCACAAUGGGCGCAAGCCUGAUGCAGCGACGCCGCGUGGGGGAUGACGGCCUUCGGGUUGUAAACUCCUUUCGCUAGGGACGAAGCUUUUUGUGACGGUACCUAGAUAAGAAGCACCGGCUAACUACGUG